This 690-nucleotide ribosomal RNA is filed under the name uncultured Actinomycetes bacterium. RNAcentral's name for it is "bacterial SSU rRNA". It matches the Rfam family "Bacterial small subunit ribosomal RNA", at positions 749 to 1440 of the family's 1533-position model. The record is from RNAcentral. Lineage: Bacteria; Bacillati; Actinomycetota; Actinomycetes.
AGGAGCGAAAGCGUGGGGAGCGAACAGGAUUAGAUACCCUGGUAGUCCACGCGGUAAACGGUGGGCACUAGUUGUGGGGACCUUCCACGGUCUCUGCGACGCAGCUAACGCAUUAAGUGCCCCGCCUGGGGAGUACGAUCGCAAGAUUAAAACUCAAAGGAAUUGACGGGGCCCCGCACAAGCAGCGGAGCAUGCGGCUUAAUUCGACGCAACGCGAAGAACCUUACCAAGGCUUGACAUAUACAGGAAUAUGGCAGAGAUGUCAUAGCCGCAAGGUCUGUAUACAGGUGGUGCAUGGUUGUCGUCAGCUCGUGUCGUGAGAUGUUGGGUUAAGUCCCGCAACGAGCGCAACCCUCGUUCUGUGUUGCCAGCAUUUAGUUGGGGACUCACAGGAGACUGCCGGGGUUAACUCGGAGGAAGGUGGGGAUGACGUUAAAUCAUCAUGCCCCUUAUGUCUUGGGCUGCACGCAUGCUACAAUGGCUGGUACAAACAGCUGCAAUACCGCAAGGUGGAGCGAAUCCGAUAAAGCCAGUCUCAGUUCGGAUUGGGGUCUGCAACUCGACCCCAUGAAGUCGGAGUUGCUAGUAAUCGUAGAUCAGCAACGCUACGGUGAAUACGUUCCCGGGGCUUGUACACACCGCCCGUCACGUCACGAAAGUCGGUAACAACCCGAAGUCAAGUGCCCAACC